Molecule: ribosomal RNA, 335 nt
Filed under: uncultured Glomeromycotina
Lineage: Eukaryota; Fungi; Glomeromycota
Description: eukaryotic LSU rRNA
Source: RNAcentral
GUGAAAUUGUUGAAAGGGAAACGAUUGAAGUCAGUCAUGCCAGCGAGAAAUCAGCUCACAGGCUACUGUGGGUGCACUUUUUCGCAAGGCAGGUUAACAUCGAUUUUUGUUGGGUCAUAAUGAUUGUAGGAAGGUGGCUCCUUCGGGAGUGUUAUAGCCUACUUUAGAUGGCGUGAUAGAGAUCGAGGAUUGCAGCGAAUGCCUUUAGGCUACGGGAUUGUUUUCUGUCCAAUUUUCAAUUGGACUUCAGCUUGCUGAGGCACGAUUGAAUAAUUGACAAUAGGAUUCUAUCCGAUAAAUUCGCUAAGGAUGUUGACGUAAUGGCUUUAAACGAC